UACAGAGGAUGCAAGCGUUAUCCGGAAUGAUUGGGCGUAAAGCGUCUGUAGGUGGCUUUUAAGUCCGCCGUCAAAUCCCAGGCUCAACUCUGGACAGGCGGUGGAAACUACCAAGCUGGAGUGACGGUAGGGGCAGAGGGAAUUUCCGGUGGAGCGGUGAAAUGCGUAGAGAUCGGAAAGAACACCAACGGCGAAAGCACUCUGCUGGGCCGACACUGACACUGAGAGACGAAAGCUAGGGGAGCGAAUGGG
RNAcentral lists this ribosomal RNA (252 nucleotides) under uncultured bacterium. RNAcentral describes it as "partial 16S ribosomal RNA". It matches the Rfam family "Bacterial small subunit ribosomal RNA", at positions 524 to 776 of the family's 1533-position model. The record is from RNAcentral.